RNAcentral lists this ribosomal RNA (335 nucleotides) under uncultured bacterium. Its description in RNAcentral is "bacterial SSU rRNA". It matches the Rfam family "Bacterial small subunit ribosomal RNA", at positions 568 to 899 of the family's 1533-position model. The record is from RNAcentral.
UGCGUAGGCGGUUUGAUGUGUCCGCUGUGAAAUCCCCCGGCUUACCCGAGGAACUGCAGCGGAAACUAUCGGGCUUGAGGACAGGAGGGGAGAGUGGAACUCUAGGUGGAGCGGUGAAAUGCGUUGAUAUCUAGAGGAACGCCGGAGGCGAAAGCGGCUCUCUGGCCUGUCCCUGACGCUGAGGCACGAAAGCUAGGGGAGCAAACGGGAUUAGACUACCCCGGUAGUCCUAGCCGUAAACGAUGGGCACUAGAUGGAGGAGGAUUCGACGCCUUCUCUGUCGAAGCAAAUGUGAUAAGUGCCCCGCCGUGGGGAGUAUGGUCGCAAGGACUAAA